Molecule: ribosomal RNA, 440 nt
Filed under: uncultured bacterium
Lineage: Bacteria
Description: partial 16S ribosomal RNA
Rfam family: Bacterial small subunit ribosomal RNA
Source: RNAcentral
CCUACGGGAGGCUGCAGUGGGGAAUAUUGCGCAAUGGGGGAAACCCUGAUGCAGCGACGCCGCGUGAGUGAAGCAGUCUUUCGGUACGUAAGGCUCUAUCAGCAGGGCAGAAAAUGACGGUACCUGCCUAAGACGCCCCGGCUAACUCCGUGCCAGCAGCCGCGGUCAUACGUAGGGGGCAAGCGUUGUCCGGAUUUACUGGGUGUAAAGGGAGCGUAGACGGCGUGCCAAGUCUGAUGUGAAAGGCCGGGGCUCAACCCCGGGACUGCAUUGGAAACUGGCAUGCUGGAGUGCCGGAGGGGCAAGCGGAAUUCCUAGUGUAGCGGUGAAAUGCGUAGAUAUUAGGAGGAACACCGGUGGCGAAGGCGGCUUGCUGGACGGUAACUGACGUUGAGGCUCGAAAGCGUGGGGAGCAAACAGGAUUAGAUACCCCAGUAGUC